AUUGAACGCUAGCGGGAUGCUUUACACAUGCAAGUCGAACGGCAGCGCGGACUUCGGUCUGGCGGCGAGUGGCGAACGGGUGAGUAAUGUAUCGGAACGUGCCCAGUAGCGGGGGAUAACUACGCGAAAGCGUAGCUAAUACUGCAUACGCCCUACGGGGGAAAGCAGGGGAUCGUAAGACCUUGCACUAUUGGAGGGGCCGAUAUCGGAUUAGCUAGUUGGUGAGGUAACGGCUCACCAAGGCGACGAUCCGUAGCUGGCGUGAGAGGACGACCAGCCACACUGGGACUGAGACACGGCCCAGACUCCUACGGGAGGCAGCAGUGGGGAAUGUUGGACAAUGGGGGCAACCCUGAUCCAGCCAUCCCGCGUGUGCGAUGAAGGCCUUCGGGUUGUAAAGCACUUUUGGCAGGAAAGAAACGUCGCGGGCUAAUACCCCGUGGAACUGACGGUACCUGCAGAAUAAGCACCGGCUAACUACGUG
Molecule: ribosomal RNA, 484 nt
Filed under: uncultured bacterium
Lineage: Bacteria
Description: partial 16S ribosomal RNA
Rfam family: Bacterial small subunit ribosomal RNA
Source: RNAcentral